CCGCCGCAAGAAUAAAUGACAAUAUACCAUACUAGCUAAGCAGACUUUGGGUGACUGUUUUUGGGUGAUUAAGAAUUAAUUUUUCAAAAAAAUACCCAUGGAACUGAGCUACUUGGGUAUGUGAGUGGUGAGAGAUGAGCAGGCGAGAGCAUUAUUUUGAAAAGAAGAAAGGACCAAACUUCUGAUAAAAAUUUGCGGGGACAUGAUCUUUGAUUGCACCCAAACGAUUCAGAUCUAAUGAUUAUAGAGAGUCGGUUUGAGGCAUUGGAAUAUUUAACUAAUAAGUCAUCAGC
This 293-nucleotide long non-coding RNA is filed under the name Elaeis guineensis (African oil palm). Its description in RNAcentral is "long non-coding RNA (EGUI_LNC024884)". The record is from RNAcentral. Lineage: Eukaryota; Viridiplantae; Streptophyta; Magnoliopsida; Arecales; Arecaceae.